GAGACCGGGCAGCAGCUGCGCGUCCAGCUGGAAUUCCCUCGCCAGGAGAACCCGGAGGUGGUGGCCCUCAGGUUGGCUCACUGUGACCUUGGGACCCACCACAGCCUUCUCGUCAGGCAGCUGAUGGAGGCGUGUGCCAGGCUGCGGCAGCUCAGCUUGUCCCAGGUUAACCUCUGUGAUGACGGUGAUGCCAGCGUCCUGCUGCUGCAGAGCCUCCUGCCGUCCCUGUCUGAGCUGAAGACGUUCCGGUGGGCAGACGAGGCGCUCUCCCCGCCCCUUGCAGCCCGGCCCUUCCCCCGCCCGUCGGCCCCCAGCCCAAGGCUCGGAGGACCCUGGGUCCCGCCCUGUGGACAAGAACCACAGGUGGUUUUGAGGUGGUGUCAGGGGUGCACGGUGACAGGCACGACCUUAGCAACACUGAGCCACACGGCAAGAAACUUAUUCCCUUUUCAAUGCCCUUUCUUUGUUUUCUCUUGAAAUAAUUGCAAGCUAAUA
Non-coding RNA from Microcebus murinus (gray mouse lemur), 495 nucleotides. The record is from RefSeq and is a predicted model, not a curated record. NCBI's taxonomy places the organism in Eukaryota, Metazoa, Chordata, Mammalia, Primates, Cheirogaleidae.